GUUGAGCUAACCGCAAGGAGGCAGGCGACCACAGUGGGUUUAGCGACUGGGGUGAAGUCGUAACAAGGUAGCCGUAGGGGAACCUGCGGCUGGAUCACCUCCUUUCUAAGG
This 111-nucleotide ribosomal RNA is filed under the name Sphingobium cupriresistens. RNAcentral describes it as "partial 16S ribosomal RNA". It matches the Rfam family "Bacterial small subunit ribosomal RNA", at positions 1429 to 1533 of the family's 1533-position model. The record is from RNAcentral. Lineage: Bacteria; Pseudomonadati; Pseudomonadota; Alphaproteobacteria; Sphingomonadales; Sphingobiaceae.